UGGCGGCAGGCCUACACAUGCAAGUCGAGCGGUAGAGAGGUGCUUGCACCUCUUGAGAGCGGCGGACGGGUGAGUAAUGCCUAGGAAUCUGCCUGGUAGUGGGGGAUAACGCUCGGAAACGGACGCUAAUACCGCAUACGUCCUACGGGAGAAAGCAGGGGACCUUCGGGCCUUGCGCUAUCAGAUGAGCCUAGGUCGGAUUAGCUAGUUGGUGGGGUAAUGGCUCACCAAGGCGACGAUCCGUAACUGGUCUGAGAGGAUGAUCAGUCACACUGGAACUGAGACACGGUCCAGACUCCUACGGGAGGCAGCAGUGGGGAAUAUUGGACAAUGGGCGAAAGCCUGAUCCAGCCAUGCCGCGUGUGUGAAGAAGGUCUUCGGAUUGUAAAGCACUUUAAGUUGGGAGGAAGGGCAGUUACU
RNAcentral lists this ribosomal RNA (420 nucleotides) under Pseudomonas sp. EP_R_17. Its description in RNAcentral is "bacterial SSU rRNA". It matches the Rfam family "Bacterial small subunit ribosomal RNA", at positions 37 to 460 of the family's 1533-position model. The record is from RNAcentral. Lineage: Bacteria; Pseudomonadati; Pseudomonadota; Gammaproteobacteria; Pseudomonadales; Pseudomonadaceae.